Molecule: ribosomal RNA, 335 nt
Filed under: uncultured bacterium
Lineage: Bacteria
Description: bacterial SSU rRNA
Rfam family: Bacterial small subunit ribosomal RNA
Source: RNAcentral
AGAGUUUGAUUAUGGCUCAGGAUGAACGCUAGCUACAGGCUUAACACAUGCAAGUCGAGGGGCAGCGGGAUUGAAGCUUGCUUCAAUUGCCGGCGACCGGCGCACGGGUGAGUAACGCGUAUCCAACCUUCCGUACACUCAGGGAUAGCCUUUCGAAAGAAAGAUUAAUACCUGAUGGUAUGAUGAGAUCGCAUGGUAUCAUCAUUAAAGAUUUAUCGGUGUACGAUGGGGAUGCGUUCCAUUAGGUAGUAGGCGGGGUAACGGCCCACCUAGCCAACGAUGGAUAGGGGUUCUGAGAGGAAGGUCCCCCACAUUGGAACUGAGACACGGUCCAA